AGAAAAGUCUCCAGUGACACCAGGAAAAGUAGCAAGAUUUGUCGCUAGUCACUUUUGAGAAGAUAAGUCAAGAGGGUUUGGAAAGUCACCAGAUUUAGCGAGAAAAUCGCCAAGUUGGCAGCAUUGAAUGCAAAUGCAAAAAAAC
Molecule: long non-coding RNA, 145 nt
Organism: Thalassophryne amazonica
Lineage: Eukaryota; Metazoa; Chordata; Actinopteri; Batrachoidiformes; Batrachoididae
Exons: 3
Source: RefSeq, a predicted model, not a curated record